GACGAACGCUGGCGGCGUGCUUAACACAUGCAAGUCGAACGGAAAGGCCCUGCUUUUGUGGGGUGCUCGAGUGGCGAACGGGUGAGUAACACGUGAGUAACCUGCCCUUGACUUUGGGAUAACUUCAGGAAACUGGGGCUAAUACCGGUUAGGAGCUCCUGCUGCAUGGUGGGGGUUGGAAAGUUUCGGCGGUUGGGGAUGGACUCGCGGCUUAUCAGCUUGUUGGUGGGGUAGUGGCUUACCAAGGCUUUGACGGGUAGCCGGCCUGAGAGGGUGACCGGCCACAUUGGGACUGAGAUACGGCCCAGACGCCUACGGGAGGCAGCGGUGGAGAAUAUUGCACAAUGGGCGGAAGCCUGAUGCAGCAACGCCGCGUGCGGGAUGACGGCCUUCGGGGUGUAAACCGCUUUCGCCUGUGACGAAGCGUGAGUGACGGUAAUGGGUAAAGAAGCACCGGCUAACUACGUG
This 468-nucleotide ribosomal RNA is filed under the name uncultured bacterium. RNAcentral's name for it is "partial 16S ribosomal RNA". It matches the Rfam family "Bacterial small subunit ribosomal RNA", at positions 28 to 507 of the family's 1533-position model. The record is from RNAcentral.